AUAAAAAGAGCUCAGUUACCCUAUAAAUCUUAUAAAAUACACAGUUUAAUUUGUGUAUUGGUGAGAAGGCACAUCAUUUUUGGCAUUGAUUUGUCUUUCUCUCUUCAAAGGUUCAAAGGAUUUAGUGGACUUUGUACUCUGUUUGAUAGAUAGCCUUCCCAAGCUUGAGAGAAGAAAAGCACAGCUCUUUUUUAUAAUUUAUGAUGGCAAGUAACACAAGUUAGAGACAGCUGACCUUCACAUGACCAAGGGUCGGGAGAUGUUGUGAGGAGGUUCCCUUGAGUCUGGUGAUUAGCCUCUGAAGAGGGGACCUGCCGUUCAGAGGCCAAGCCUUCAGGACAUUGCCCAGGCCCUGGAAACACUAACAGUGGACCUCCUGUCUUGGGCUACCACGAGGACCAACAGGACCAGCGGGACCAGCAGGACCAGCUUCACCCUAUAAGGGGGCCAAAAAUGAGUUUGUCAGUGUUCCUCACACAAACGCUCAAAGAGGUAUGCCAGCAGCACCCCUUUCUCCUGGGAGUCCAUUAGGACCAGAUGGACCAGCAGUGCCUGGAGCACCAACCACACCAGAUUCCUAGUCCUUGAAUUCUGUUAUUUAAGGCAUGAUCCAUCAUCAUGCAGCUCCAGAUACAAUAAAGUACACUUAUGUCUGCAGGAGCAUAUGACUCAAGAUGUGGAUUUUCAGCAGGAACAAUGAUACACUGGAGGUCAACUUUUGUUGUGUUAAUAUCUCCUGCGUGAAUCUUGUGACUGCUUCUGUAGAAUGGAGUCCCAUUGCCCCAGCUCCCAACAAACUCCCUCUGCUGCCCUAGAUAUGAAUGCUUUAAAUUACCAUGCAAAAUCAGGAAAUUGGAAAUCAUCAAUUAACGGCAUAUUACUUCUCAAGUGAGAGUUUUAAUUUACAGAAAAUAUCGUCUUGCCCUUACCGUGUAUUAGCUUAUUGCGAACCAUUAGCUCCAGCAGAACAUCUUUUGAAGACAGAGCACUGAAUGCAUUGUCCAGGAUACACUGACUAGCUAUUGGGAUUGGCUUCAGUGAGAAAUGCAGAUCAUUCUCUGUAUAAACCUGUGGAGUCUUUAAAUGGGGAUUCCAUAAACCUUAAGCCCUGGACCCCUGUGCUCUCAUUGUCCCCCUCCAGAGUGCGCCUGGUGGUCGUCAUCAUCAUCGUCGUCAUCGUCAUCAUCAUCCAGACCAGUCUUAAAACACCCAGAAGAGAAAAGCCUUUAGGAGGUGAGUUUUUUUAUUACUAAAUUAAGGGCUUUCCAAACCAGGCCUCAAGUUUCACAAGGUGGGCAUCAGUGCAGUUUUGGGGCCUUUUAGGCUGAGGCCUCUGCCUUCCUUCAUCAUGUCCGUUAAUAUCUCAUCCUUAAGGAAAAGGAUUUCUGCUCCCUUUGAGCUUCACUAACUGGAGGAUCCAGAUCAAGUUAACAGGUUCACUCUGAGUUGAGAGAAAAGUUCCCUAACUUUUGGCGAGAGUCGAGCCUUUUUCGUUUUCAUUUCUAAAGUAUUUUCCAUGUUUCUCAUAAAUGCCAGCGUUUCUCCACAUGCCAGAGAGCCUUCCCUCCAAGCUGUACCUAGAACUUUGUUAGGUUUUCCUUUUCAGACCAGGUGCCCACCCAUCUAACCUCUUUCCCGGACUGCCCGAAA
Delphinapterus leucas (beluga whale) is the source of this 1650-nucleotide non-coding RNA. NCBI's taxonomy places the organism in Eukaryota, Metazoa, Chordata, Mammalia, Artiodactyla, Monodontidae. The record is from RefSeq and is a predicted model, not a curated record.